AGACGACCUGAGCAACAGAGAUGUGAGCUGCUCCGACAUACUGAAGGCUGAACUUUGCCUGCUUCCAGACGCUACCAACAUGGACACAUUUACUCACCAAAGGAGACCGAUAACUCGCUCCUGCAGUCUUGGGGAUACGCUGACCAGGAGCGCCACCUUCCAUGCUUUAACCCAGACCACAGACCAACACCAGGAAGAGGAGGGGUCGCCACGACAACGACGAAUAACUGUUGCAUCAUAUAUGCCUCAGUCUAAGGAUCAGAAUGGAAACUUCCCUGAG
Long non-coding RNA from Lates calcarifer (barramundi perch), 280 nucleotides. RefSeq lists it as uncharacterized. NCBI's taxonomy places the organism in Eukaryota, Metazoa, Chordata, Actinopteri, Centropomidae. The transcript has 3 exons. The record is from RefSeq and is a predicted model, not a curated record.